CAGCUGUAAACGAUGCAGACUAGGUGUUUGGACGGCCACGUGCCGUUCUAGUGCCGCAGGGAAGCUGUUAAGUCUGCCGCCUGGGGAGUACGAUCGCAAGGCUGAAACUUAAGGGAAUUGGCGGGGGAGCACAACAACGGGUGGAGCUUGCGGUUUAAUUGGAUUCAACGCCGGAAAUCUUACCGGGACCGACAGCAACAUGAAGGCCAAGCUGAAGACUUUGCCGGAUUAGCUGAGAGGUGGUGCAUGGCGUAGUCGUGU
RNAcentral lists this ribosomal RNA (261 nucleotides) under uncultured archaeon. RNAcentral describes it as "partial 16S ribosomal RNA". It matches the Rfam family "Archaeal small subunit ribosomal RNA", at positions 748 to 1009 of the family's 1478-position model. The record is from RNAcentral.